This 357-nucleotide ribosomal RNA is filed under the name Triticum aestivum (bread wheat). RNAcentral describes it as "partial small subunit ribosomal RNA". Lineage: Eukaryota; Viridiplantae; Streptophyta; Magnoliopsida; Poales; Poaceae. The record is from RNAcentral.
AAACAAUUGCCAGACACUUUGAAAUAUGCUUAUCUUGAUGAAAAGAAAAUAUAUCAUGUUAUUAUCAGUGCUAACCUUUCAGAACAUGAAGAAGAAAGAUUAUUGAAAGUUCUAAGGAAGCACCGAGCUGCUAUUGGAUAUACUCUUGAUGAUUUAAAGGGCAUUAGUCCCACUCUAUGUCAGCACAAAAUUAAUAUGGAACCUGAUGCUAAACCAGUUGUUGAUCACCAACGUUGGUUAAAUCCGAAGAUGGAAGAGGUGGUAAGAACGGAAAUACUAAAACUUCUGGAAGCAGGUAUAAUCUAUCCCAUAGCUGAUAGUAGAUGGGUAAGUCAUGUUCAUUGUGUCCCUAAGUAA